Molecule: ribosomal RNA, 1508 nt
Filed under: uncultured Bacillus sp.
Lineage: Bacteria; Bacillati; Bacillota; Bacilli; Caryophanales; Bacillaceae
Description: bacterial SSU rRNA
Rfam family: Bacterial small subunit ribosomal RNA
Source: RNAcentral
AGAGUUUGAUCCUGGCUCAGGACGAACGCUGGCGGCGCGCCUAAUACAUGCAAGUCGAGCGGACAGAUGGGAGCUUGCUCCCUGAAGUCAGCGGCGGACGGGUGAGUAACACGUGGGCAACCUGCCUGUAAGACUGGGAUAACUUCGGGAAACCGGAGCUAAUACCGGAUAACACCGAGGACCUCAUGGUCCUUGGUUGAAAGAUGGCUUCGGCUAUCACUUACAGAUGGGCCCGCGGCGCAUUAGCUAGUUGGUGAGGUAACGGCUCACCAAGGCGACGAUGCGUAGCCGACCUGAGAGGGUGAUCGGCCACACUGGGACUGAGACACGGCCCAGACUCCUACGGGAGGCAGCAGUAGGGAAUCUUCCGCAAUGGACGAAAGUCUGACGGAGCAACGCCGCGUGAGCGAUGAAGGCCUUCGGGUCGUAAAGCUCUGUUGUUAGGGAAGAACAAGUACCGUUCGAAUAGGGCGGUACCUUGACGGUACCUAACCAGAAAGCCACGGCUAACUACGUGCCAGCAGCCGCGGUAAUACGUAGGUGGCAAGCGUUGUCCGGAAUUAUUGGGCGUAAGCGCGCGCAGGCGGUUCCUUAAGUCUGAUGUGAAAGCCCACGGCUCAACCGUGGAGGGUCAUUGGAAACUGGGGAACUUGAGUGCAGAAGAGGAAAGCGGAAUUCCACGUGUAGCGGUGAAAUGCGUAGAAGAUGUGGAGGACACCAGUGCGAAGCGGCUUUUCUGGUCUGUAACUGACGCUGAGCGCGAAAGCGUGGGGAGCAAACAGGAUUAGAUACCCUGUAGACGCCGUAAACGAUGAGUGCUAAGUGUUAGGGGGUUUCCGCCCCUUUAGUGCUGCAGCUAACGCAUUAAGCACUCCGCCUGGGGAGUACGGCCGCAAGGCUGAAACUCAAAGGAAUUGACGGGGGCCCGCACAAGCGGUGGAGCAUGUGGUUUAAUUCGAAGCAACGCGAAGAACCUUACCAGGUCUUGACAUCCUCUGACAACUCUAGAGAUAGAGCGUUCCCCUUCGGGGGACAGAGUGACAGGUGGUGCAUGGUUGUCGUCAGCUCGUGUCGUGAGAUGUUGGGUUAAGUCCCGCAACGAGCGCAACCCUUGAUCUUAGUUGCCAGCAUUCAGUUGGGCACUCUAAGGUGACUGCCGGUGACAAACCGGAGGAAGGUGGGGAUGACGUCAAAUCAUCAUGCCCCUUAUGACCUGGGCUACACACGUGCUACAAUGGACGGUACAAAGAGUCGCGAGACCGCGAGGUGGAGCUAAUCUCAUAAAACCGUUCUCAGUUCGGAUUGUAGGCUGCAACUCGCCUACAUGAAGCCGGAAUCGCUAGUAAUCGCGGAUCAGCAUGCCGCGGUGAAUACGUUCCCGGGCCUUGUACACACCGCCCGUCACACCACGAGAGUUUGCAACACCCGAAGUCGGUGAGGUAACCGUAAGGAGCCAGCCGCCUAAGGUGGGGUAGAUGAUUGGGGUGAAGUCGUAACAAGGUAGCCGU